This 164-nucleotide ribosomal RNA is filed under the name uncultured bacterium. RNAcentral describes it as "partial 16S rRNA". It matches the Rfam family "Bacterial small subunit ribosomal RNA", at positions 355 to 511 of the family's 1533-position model. The record is from RNAcentral.
UAGGGAAUCUUCCACAAUGGACGAAAGUCUGAUGGAGCAACGCCGCGUGAGUGAAGAAGGGUUUCGGCUCGUAAAACUCUGUUGUUAAAGAAGAACAUAUCUGAGAGUAACUGUUCAGGUAUUGACGGUAUUUAACCAUAAAGCCACGGCUAACUACGUGUCAG